GGGGGUCUACUCAGGGACUGGCUGAACAUUAGUCAAUUGUUGGUGGCUGUCCUGUGUUGGAAUGUGUAUUAUCCCUGUACUCUGCUCUUACUCCAUAGAUCAAACAGCUACAAGGGCCACAGAGGAGCAAUAGCCUUGCCUCUGGACUGUGAAGUAAUGUUAGAGGAGUGUAAGAUGGCAUCAGAGUGAUUAGUUGUCAUCUAACUCCCUUCAAGGAAACAAAGAAUUUGAAGACUGGCCACUAACUACAUAGGUGUGGUGGGUUGACCUUGGCGGGCUGCCAAACAACCACUCAGGUGCUUUCUUGUUCUUCAGUGGGAGAGGAAGAAAAAUAAGACAAAGAACCUC
Molecule: long non-coding RNA, 348 nt
Organism: Neopelma chrysocephalum (saffron-crested tyrant-manakin)
Lineage: Eukaryota; Metazoa; Chordata; Aves; Passeriformes; Pipridae
Exons: 3
Source: RefSeq, a predicted model, not a curated record